AAUCUUGCACAAUGGGGGAAACCCUGAUGCAGCGAUGCCGCGUGAGUGAAGAAGGCCUUUGGGUUGUAAAACUCUUUCGUCGGGGAAGAAAAUGACUGUACCCGAAUAAGAAGGUCCGGCUAACUUCGUGCCAGCAGCCGCGGUAAUACGAAGGGACCUAGCGUAAUUCGGAAUUACUGGGCGUAAAGCGCGCGUAGGCGGUUAAGUAAGUUAAUUGUGAAAGCCCAAAGCUCAACUUUGGAAUUGCAAUUAAAACUACUUAGCUAGAGUUUAUCAGAGGAAAGCGGAAUACAUAGUGUAGAGGUGAAAUUCGUAGAUAUUAUGUAGAACACCAGUUGCGAAGGCGGCUUUCUGGGAUAAUACUGACGCUGAGGUGCGAAAGUAUGGGUAGCGAAGAGGAUUAGAUACCCUCGUAGUCCAUACCGUAAACGAUGAUUGUUAGAUGUUGGAAAUUUAUUUUCAGUAUCACAGCUAACGCGUUAAACAAUCCGCCUGGGGAGUACGACCGCAAGGUUAAAACUCAAAUGAAUUGACGGGGACCCGCACAAGCGGUGGAGCAUGUGGUUUAAUUCGAAGCUACGCGCAGAACCUUACCAACACUUGACAUGUCUGUCGCGGAAUCCAGAGAUGGAUUCUUUCGGUUCGGCCGGACAGAACACAGGUGCUGCAUGGCUGUCGUCAGCUCGUGUCGUGAGAUGUUGGGUUAAGUCCCGCAACGAGCGCAACCCCUACUUCUAGUUGCCAUCAGGUUAAGCUGGGCACUCUAGUAGGACUGCCUGUGAUAAGCAGGAGGAAGGUUGGGAUGACGUCAAGUCCUCAUGGCCCUUACGUGUUGGGCUACACACGUGCUACAAUGGCAGUGACAAUGAGAUGCUAAACGGCGACGUUAAGCUAAACUCAAAAACCUGCCUCAGUUCGGAUUGCACUCUGCAACUCGAGUGCAUGAAGCUGGA
Molecule: ribosomal RNA, 953 nt
Filed under: marine metagenome
Description: bacterial SSU rRNA
Rfam family: Bacterial small subunit ribosomal RNA
Source: RNAcentral